RNAcentral lists this unclassified non-coding RNA (324 nucleotides) under Hevea brasiliensis (rubber tree). Lineage: Eukaryota; Viridiplantae; Streptophyta; Magnoliopsida; Malpighiales; Euphorbiaceae. The record is from RNAcentral.
GUUCCUGGUGACUUUGGGUCAAAUAAGUAAAGCUUACUGGACUAGAAAUGAUUGUUCAUUUAUCAUUUUCCCCUGCAUAGCAAGGCUUCAACAGAAGAAACUCCUCGAGCUAUAGCUGUUUUUGGUCUUCCAGGAACCUUGCAGUUUGUUGCAUACACCACAAGGUUCCAGUGGUUUCUUCGUGCCGGAUUGUCUAACUUAGCACAGCAAAAAAUGAAUGUAGUGUGGAGUAGAUAUACACCGACAGUUCUUCUUUGAACCUUUUGUCUGUACAAUUGAACCUUGAACGGUAGGGUGGGUUUGUCUAGCAGUUUUGCAAUGAGA